RNAcentral lists this ribosomal RNA (477 nucleotides) under uncultured organism. RNAcentral's name for it is "partial 16S ribosomal RNA". It matches the Rfam family "Bacterial small subunit ribosomal RNA", at positions 331 to 799 of the family's 1533-position model. The record is from RNAcentral.
GUACACUCCUGCGGGAGGCAGCAGUGGGGAAUUUUGGACAAUGGGCGAAAGCCUGAUCCAGCAAUGCCGCGUGAGUGAAGAAGGCCUUCGGGUUGUAAAGCUCUUUUGUCAGGGAAGAAACGGUGAGAGCUAAUAUCUUUUGCUAAUGACGGUACCUGAAGAAUAAGCACCGGCUAACUACGUGCCAGCAGCCGCGGUAAUACGUAGGGUGCAAGCGUUAAUCGGAAUUACUGGGCGUAAAGCGUGCGCAGGCGGUUUUGUAAGUCUGAUGUGAAAUCCCCGGGCUCAACCUGGGAAGUGCAUUGGAGACUGCAAGGCUAGAAUCUGGCAGAGGGGGGUAGAAUUCCACGUGUAGCAGUGAAAUGCGUAGAUAUGUGGAGGAACACCGAUGGCGAAGGCAGCCCCCUGGGUCAAGAUUGACGCUCAUGCACGAAAGCGUGGGGAGCAAACAGGAUUAGAUACCCCAGUAGUCCCAUG